UGGCUCAGUUGGUAGAGCAUGGUGUUUGCAAUGCCAGGGUUGUGGGUUUGUUUCCCAU
This 58-nucleotide transfer RNA is filed under the name Salmo salar (Atlantic salmon). It matches the Rfam family "tRNA", at positions 8 to 63 of the family's 71-position model. From Rfam's summary of the family: Transfer RNA (tRNA) molecules are approximately 80 nucleotides in length. The record is from Rfam by way of RNAcentral. Lineage: Eukaryota; Metazoa; Chordata; Actinopteri; Salmoniformes; Salmonidae.